AUACAGCUUGAGAACAAUAUUAUAAAAAUAUAAUUUUUCAACAAUGCUUGAGAAACACUUAUGUUCCACAAACAUUUCUCAAGUCUGUCCCUUGUUGACAAAUUAGUUUUGAUUUUUUGUGAAAAUUGUCAGCAAGAAAUUAUUUUCUUUGGCAAAAAACAAAAUCAGGCGAAUUUAGGACCCAUUUGUGGACCGAACCCUUAAGAUUGGAAGCAUCAAAAAAGUUGCAGGAAUUCAAUAAAUGUGUAGUCUUAGUGGAAGAGAUGCAGAAGUUCAAAUAAGGGAGAAGAAAGCGUCAGGGUAUCAAGGCCACAUGCGGCAGUGACUACUGGGAUGUCCAUCAAGAAAAAACGUUAAAAAUGAUUAAAAACUAAAAAAAAUAAUAUUUUAUACUAUUACAAAAAUAAGCUUAUUAUAAUAUUAUUUUUGUAAGCUUAUUCUACAAUUUCAAGUAUAAGCUUAUAAAUAAAGGUUCCGUUUCGAUUA
Molecule: long non-coding RNA, 486 nt
Organism: Musca domestica (house fly)
Lineage: Eukaryota; Metazoa; Arthropoda; Insecta; Diptera; Muscidae
Exons: 2
Source: RefSeq, a predicted model, not a curated record